Molecule: ribosomal RNA, 253 nt
Filed under: uncultured bacterium
Lineage: Bacteria
Description: partial 16S ribosomal RNA
Rfam family: Bacterial small subunit ribosomal RNA
Source: RNAcentral
UACGUAGGGGGCGAGCGUUGUCCGGAGUUACUGGGCGUAAAGGGCAUGCAGGCGGUCGGACGCGUUUCGGGUGACAGCGGGUGGCUUAACUACCCGAGUGGUCGAAAGACGGUUUGACUUGAGGACGCGAGAGGGACACGGAAUUCCGGGUGGAGUGGUGAAAUGCGUAGAGAUCCGGAGGAACACCGAAGGCGAAGGCAGUGUCCUGGCGCGUAACUGACGCUCAGGUGCGAAAGCUAGGGGAGCGAACAGG